Long non-coding RNA from Nematostella vectensis (starlet sea anemone), 3753 nucleotides. RefSeq lists it as uncharacterized. The record is from RefSeq and is a predicted model, not a curated record. Lineage: Eukaryota; Metazoa; Cnidaria; Anthozoa; Actiniaria; Edwardsiidae. The transcript has 4 exons.
CUUCCGCCCAGCUCUACAAGUUCGCUCCAUAUGGCUUCACAAGAUAAGAUUCCUCCACGUUGUGAUGAAGAUAUGGCUUUCCUUUCGUCUUUCUGUCGUGUUUCUGCCUCCAUUCCUCGUUCGCUGCUCGCUUUUCCCUUGGAGCGACAUCAUUAGUCAUCCAAGCGACCCUUCAUUAGCUGAAUGUGGAAUAGUGGGGGAAACGGCCGCGUUUUGUGGGGCCACCUGCAAGUGUGGGGCCUGUGGUGGAGCAAAAGGUGGGGUUGGCUGAAAUCUGAGGAGGUCUGGUGACUGGUAUGGCGAUGUCCCACAAGUCACCACGAGUUAGCGUGCGCCCUACUAGAGCAAAGAUGGCGGAUUCAAUGUCUCUGAGGAUGCCUCUAAAGUGUGGGACUUAAAGGAUCCAAGAAACACGUUGUGUGCUGUUACGGAACUCGUUAAAAAAGCCUUCAAGGCAGCAGCUACAGAAGCUUUACCCUCUAUAAGGUACCACCACACCAAGGCAGCAGCUACAGAAGCUUUACCCUCUAUAAGGUACCACCACACCAAGGCAGCAGCUUUAAUUUAUUUUUUCUAUUAAUUCAUUUGUUUGAAUAUUCAUUAUUAUUUAUUUAUUAUUUAUGUCAAUUUUAAUUUGUAAGGACCUUUCAGGAGGAUUAGUGCAAUCUAGUUGUUGAGGUGAAAGAAACUUAUAACGCCGAACUAAUAAACAUAUUUUCCCCUCAGAAAGAAUUUACAAAACAAACUUAAAUUGUUCUUACCAAACAAAAAUCAAAAGUUAAGUACUCAAUCAGAACAAUAGUCUACUAACUACGAUCAGAAGCGAUAAAAUUAUUUGAUAAGUUUACGAUUUAAAAACAUACCGUUUCAUUUGUUUCAAGUCUGCGAGAGACCAACAUUAAUAAUCAUACUUUUGCUGCUUUAUUGUCUUCGACUUCCUUCGUCUUUAGAACAUGGAUCCUUUCUUAUAUUUUAGGCUUUUUGUAAAGACUUUCUUUCUUAGACUUUCUUUCAUCUCUACUUUGUUGUUAAUCGGUAGUGUAAACGAUCUUCCCCCGUGUGAUAACCAGUUUGUUGGAAGCGAAAUUCGACAGCGGACUCAGAGAAAAUUGUAGAUUCAUUGAUUAAAGCGAUCCAUGACUGACAUCCUUAGAUGUUUGGAAGUUUGUGUUUUCUCAAGUGAAGGCAACCGUGUCAGCGAAGCGUGGUUACAUAGACAGGGCUUCUGGAAUUAUGCGGAAAAAAACUCAAAAUUACGCAGGGUUCUUGGCUAAAUUACGUGGAAAAUCAAUCAUAACGCGCUAAAUUACACGGGAUUUUGCAAUACAUUUUUCUUUAAAAAGAAGAUUUUGCGGGAUUCUUUACUGAAUUACGCGCUAAAUUAAACUGUUACGCCCAAACUACAUUUUGUACCGAAGGAAAGCACAAAAUUAACUUUAAAAAGGUAAUUUUUGUGCGCGAAAAUAUCUUAGGCGAGUUUUCAUCGGCUUCUAGCCACAAGCCAAUCAAAAAAGGUAAUUUAUUAUUAGUCUUAGGCCUUCACGGUUUAGCAAAGAACUCCUAGUCAUUUUAUUGGUUUUUGAAAUUCAGUUAGAAAUAUCGCACUCUUACAAAAAAUAUCUCUCUUUUUUACUAGAAAUAAGGGUAAGAACUCUAAAAUAACACAUCAGCUGUGCACUUAAAUGUUUUGUCUUUCAAAAUUUAGCCAAAUUACGCGGGUUUACGUGGAAAUUUGUGGAUUACAAGGAUUACGCGGACAAAGCCAAAUUACGCGCUUCCGCACAAGCGCGUAAUUCCAGAAGCUCUGCAUAGAUUGCGCGGGCAGGCAGGCGGCAGCGAGGAAGAACCACAGGGCUCCCGCGCGAUGACCAAAAAACUCACUCACAUAGUUAUCUGGUUAUAUACCAUUUUUCUAUACCUAUGGGGCUCCGCUAUAACACUGAUUGAAUAUAGGGAGUUUAAAUUUACGACAUUGAUUGAAUAUGUGGAGCUUAAAUCUACCUAAAUACUUAAAUAAAUACUCCCUAUACACAUGUAUAUAUAGCUUACGCUAGUAAUGGGAGGGUUGGUCAGCUUUAAAGCCGGCGUAGGUGCGAAGGCACCUUUAGCUGCCUGAUGGCCGGCAGAGCGGCUGUUUUAAAUGCCUCUAGGGUUACUUGAUUGACAACGUUACUUGGAAGUAAGUUCCAGAUUCUUAUAGCUCUUGGAAAAAAGGAAUAAUUAUAGGAUAGAAUAUUAGACUGUAGUUGCAAAAAACUAUGGUUAUGCCUCCUAGUGACUCUAUAUGACGGUUGAGAAACAGAAGUAGGGAGAGGGCAGGCCACAAGGUUGUUAUAGAAUUUAAACAUUAGAACUGACUGGUGGAAUAGUCUUCUAGUUUCAAGCGUAUCCCAUUUUAGUUGUUUCACAAGCUCUGUGGAGCUAGCUUGGAAACUAUAGUUGUUUGUUACAAAUCUGGCUGCGUUCUUUUGUACUUGUUCUAAUCUAUUUACGUCUGUGUCUGUAUAAGGGCUCCAUGCCGCUGAGGCAUAUUCCAGUGAUGGUCGUACGAGCGAUAAAUAAGCACGUUCUUUUACUGCAGGCUCGCAGGGUUUCAAAGUUCUUCUAAUCGCGCCGAGGGUUUUGUUAGCCUUCGUCGCUAUUUUGGAACAGUGGGGGCCCCAGCGUAGUUGUUUAUUGCAUCUUACUCCAAGAUAGUCUUGGUCUGCCACUUGAGUAAAGGGCUUCGCGUCUGCAGUAUACACGUAUGUUGAUGGUUUUCUCUUCUUCGUUACUGAUAGUAAGUAACAUUUUGUCACAUUAAAUUCCAUUUGCCAUACCGAUGACCAUUUAUAAACACCGUCCAGAUCUUCUUGGAGUGCUGUAUGGUCAUCCGUUGUAGAGAUUGGGCGAUAAAUGAUCGUAUCAUCUGCGAAGAGUCUGACCUGGGACUUCGAUGCUUCACAGAUGUCAUUUAUAUACAGUAGGAACAGAGUUGGUCCCAGAACGGAGCCCUGUGGAACGCCUGAUGUUACAUGCACUUUGCUAGAGUGGGAUCCAUUGACUACCACGUACUGGGACCUGUUUCUCAAAAAGCCAGAUACCCAUGCUAGUGUCUUCCCCUCGAUGCCAUAAUGAGAAAGCUUCUUGAGGAGCUUUGAGUGCGACACUUUAUCGAAGGCUUUACUGUAAUCUAAUAGUAAAGCAUCCACUUGGCCAUGAUGGUUUAAUGUAGUUGCCCAGUCGUGGAAUGUGAGGACUAGCUGAGUCUCACAAGAUAGUGCUUGCCGAAAACCAUGCUGGAAGAUAGACAGUAUGUUGUUGGCUGCUAGAUGCUUGUUCAGGUGGCUAAGAACAAUGUGCUCCAUAAUCUUACAGCAGAUGCAUGUAAGAGAAAUUGGGCGGUAAUUUUGUGGUUGGUCUUUGGCUGACUUCUUGUGCACCGGUACGACCAUUGCGUUUAGCCAGAUUUUUGGCAAAGUUCCCUCUUGAUAGCUUUGAUUAAAAAUGAAGCACAGUACACCAGAUAGUUCCUUUGCCAGAUCUCGUAACACGCGAGGCGAGAUGCCAUCAGGACCAUUACUUUUGUUUACAUUCAAACCAGCUAGCUGUUUAAAUACGCCAGCCUGAGUAAUGGUAAUAUCACUAAUUUUGGGACAUGUUGGAGGGUCAAGGUCGGGAACGACACCAUCGUCCAUAGUGAAAACACUCUCAAAAUACUUGUUCAAUGCCUCUGCCUUGUCCUUAUCUGAAAUAAACAUUGAGUUCCCUUGG